RNAcentral lists this ribosomal RNA (484 nucleotides) under uncultured bacterium. RNAcentral's name for it is "partial 16S ribosomal RNA". It matches the Rfam family "Bacterial small subunit ribosomal RNA", at positions 29 to 507 of the family's 1533-position model. The record is from RNAcentral.
AUUGAACGCUGGCGGCAGGCCUAACACAUGCAAGUCGAGCGGCAGCGGGUCCUUCGGGAUUCCGGCGAGCGGCGGACGGGUGAGGAAUACAUCGGAAUCUGCCCGGUCGUGGGGGAUAACCUAGGGAAACUUAGGCUAAUACCGCAUACGACCUACGGGUGAAAGCGGGGGAUCGCAAGACCUCGCGCGACAGGAUGAGCCGAUGUCCGAUUAGCUAGUUGGCGGGGUAAAGGCCCACCAAGGCGACGAUCGGUAGCUGGUCUGAGAGGAUGAUCAGCCACACUGGGACUGAGACACGGCCCAGACUCCUACGGGAGGCAGCAGUGGGGAAUAUUGGACAAUGGGCGCAAGCCUGAUCCAGCCAUGCCGCGUGGGUGAAGAAGGCCUUCGGGUUGUAAAGCCCUUUUGUCCGGGAAGAAAUCGUCUGGGCUAAUACCCCGGGCGGAUGACGGUACCGGAAGAAUAAGCACCGGCUAACUUCGUG